CAGUCGCCGCGGGAAAACCGGCAGCCCGAGUGAUGGCCGCUAUUAUUGGGCCUAAAGCGUCCGUAGCCGGCCAGACAAGUCCGUUGGGAAAUCCACGCGCUCAACGCGUGGACGUCCGGCGGAAACUGUCUGGCUUGGGGCCGGAAGAUCUGAGGGGUACGUCCGGGGUAGGAGUGAAAUCCCGUAAUCCUGGACGGACCGCCGGUGGCGAAAGCGCCUCAGAAAGACGGACCCGACGGUGAGGGACGAAAGCUAGGGUCUCGAGCCGGAUUAGAGACCCCUGUAGUCCCUGUCUCUUAUA
RNAcentral lists this ribosomal RNA (301 nucleotides) under uncultured bacterium. RNAcentral describes it as "partial 16S ribosomal RNA". It matches the Rfam family "Archaeal small subunit ribosomal RNA", at positions 459 to 759 of the family's 1478-position model. The record is from RNAcentral.